UUUCCGUAGGUGAACCUGCGGAAGGAUCAUUAUUGUAUAACCGAGGUGCGAGGGCUGUCGCUGACCCGAAAGUUCGUGCACGCCCGAGUGCCCUCACACACAUCCAUCUCACCCCUAUGUGCACCACCGCGUGGGUCCUCCUUUGGCGUGUUCGGAGGGGGGCUUACGUUUUCACACAAACUUUGUAUGCAGUGUAGAAUGUAUUUUUUGUUUUUGCGAUCACGCAAUCAAUACAACUUUCAACAACGGAUCUCUUGGCUCUC
RNAcentral lists this unclassified non-coding RNA (263 nucleotides) under plant metagenome. RNAcentral's name for it is "partial contains small subunit ribosomal RNA, internal transcribed spacer 1, and 5.8S ribosomal RNA". The record is from RNAcentral.